This 752-nucleotide unclassified non-coding RNA is filed under the name Hevea brasiliensis (rubber tree). The record is from RNAcentral. Lineage: Eukaryota; Viridiplantae; Streptophyta; Magnoliopsida; Malpighiales; Euphorbiaceae.
GGCAAAGAGGCAAUUGUAUCAGCAGAAAGCCCCCUGCUCUCAGUUCCAACAACAUCACCUAGUGCUAUAAGUUCCUCAUAAGAAAGCUCAUCAGGAUCAACGUCCUCCCAUGCAUCCUGGGAAUUAAUACCACGAUCCUCUUCAUCUUGCCUUUGUCCAACAUACAUUUCAUUUAUCCCAGCAAGGGCCAAUAAUCUAGCAGCCAUUUCUCUCUCUUCAGCAUCCUGUAGUGCUCUGGCAUAGGCCUCAUCACUAGAAAAAGCUGAUGGGUCUAACUCAACACCUUGGUUCUCAUCCUCACUUGCUUCAUCAUGAGCAUGCACAUCAAAUGCAUCUUCAUCAUCCUCACCCACAUCACUACCAUCAUCUUCUUCUUCGCUUGGAUCAUCAAAAUCUUCAUCCUCAUCCUCAUCAUGGCCAUAGUUCCCAGCAUCCCAGCUCCCAUAAUCAAUCCCAUCAUCGUUCAUACUAAGCAUCAUAUAAGCUCUUUCCUGGUCUUGCAAGGUGCGGGCAAGAGCAAGAUCAGCAUCGACCUGACUAAGGUCGGUGAAAGGAGUUCUUCGUGAAGCCCCGGGUUGAUGAAGAGCAGCAUCGGGUUCCCCAUUUGCAUUCACUUGCAGACUAGCAUCCCCAUCAGACCCAUUAGGGUUUCCAGGUUGGUGACUGUUGUCAUCAACCACUGUGGUUUUGGCUGCUUCAUUAUUAUAAUUAUUGUUGUUGUUACUUUCUGAAUUCUCCAUUUCUGGGCCAAC